UGGGGAAUAUUGCACAAUGGGCGCAAGCCUGAUGCAGCCAUGCCGCGUGUAUGAAGAAGGCCUUCGGGUUGUAAAGUACUUUCAGCGGGGAGGAAGGCGAUGUGGUUAAUAACCGCGUCGAUUGACGUUACCCGCAGAAGAAGCACCGGCUAACUCCGUGCC
RNAcentral lists this ribosomal RNA (162 nucleotides) under uncultured bacterium. RNAcentral describes it as "partial 16S ribosomal RNA". It matches the Rfam family "Bacterial small subunit ribosomal RNA", at positions 355 to 509 of the family's 1533-position model. The record is from RNAcentral.